UACAAUGUAUGCCAUCCUAUAAAAGCCUCACUUCAGCGAUCGGACAUUUCCCCCUGGAAGAAAAUUGUAAACCCUAGCAGAGCGUGACGACAUCCCGAUUCGAACCUCCCCUGAGAAGCUCCAGCCGAACCUCCCCGAUUCGUGCCAUAGCCCAGGAUUUUGGCUAAUCGGCAAUCAGCUCAGAGGUCGAGGGUGAGAAAGUUGCAGUAUAUAUCGGAGCUCGAACAAAGCGUGACGACAUUUCAGUUAUGGAUCAGUUGAGUUUGCAGAGGUUGAGAAAGAAGAGGAAAGUUGUUGCUCUUACUUUCUAUAUUCAAAUGUGUACUAUAGUAAGGGCUUUGAUGGGAAUAUUGUCAGAACUUGCUGCUCUAUAUGGUCCUAAACCAAGCAGUAGGUCGUACGAGUUAAAAUAUUAUAGGAAGAGGGAUCAUAUUAGGAGGCUUGUGUAUGCGGAUGACGUUACUUGUACUGAACAAUUAAGAAUGGAUAGGAAUGCAUUUCUCAGGGCUUGAAUACAAUAGCAAACGAAAUGAAAGAAGCUUGCAUGAUGAUCUCAAAGAGUGUUCACUCCGACGUUUAUUAAGAGAAGUUCCUUGAACUUUCGAGAGCUCUUCGUAAUGUUGAUGGUCUGACUUCAGCACAAGUUCGUAUGGCUAUUCAAAAGUUCGGUAACCAUCCGAAUUAUAUUCUCCUUUUCUUUGGUACCGAGCCAGAAUAUCGCUUGGAAAUGGUGCAGGAUUUCCUUACGAAUCAAGCACCGCCUUCUACAUCUAUGUAGACGACGAGCUCAUCGGGAGUGGCGAGUAUCGGCCCAAGAAGGAGAUUGCGAUCAAGUUUCCCUGAAAUUGUUGAGUCCGGUGGUCUUCUAAAUUCUCCUAGAUGCAUGUCAGGAUGUUGGAUUUUGGGUUUGAAUACUGCAGCUGCAUUUGUGUUGGCCCGUUUAUUACUCUGCUUGAAUGUUUUCUAAAUUUUUGCGAAUCUUUACAUGGUGUCGGGGCUGGUAGUUGAUUUUGCGUUUUAGAACGUAGUACGCCUCUUUGAACCAAAUCCGCACAUUUCCGAUGCUUUUCAUCUAUACAUUCGAUUUCCUUGAGCA
Molecule: non-coding RNA, 1096 nt
Organism: Punica granatum (pomegranate)
Lineage: Eukaryota; Viridiplantae; Streptophyta; Magnoliopsida; Myrtales; Lythraceae
Source: RefSeq, a predicted model, not a curated record